UAUAGUUUAUUUGAUGUUUCUUGCUACAUGGAUAACUGUGGUAAUUCUAGAGCUAAUACAUGCGUAAAAAGCCCCGACUUCUGGAAGGGGUGUAUUUAUUAGAUAAAAACCAUCCUCCUCGGAGUUUGGUGAUUCAUAAUAACUUCUCGAAUCGCACGGCCUUGUGCUGGCGAUGCUUCAUUCAAAUAUCUGCCCUAUCAACUGUCGAUGGUAGGAUAGAGGCCUACCAUGGUUGCAACGGGUAACGGGGAAUAAGGGUUCGAUUCCGGAGAGGGAGCCUGAGAAACGGCUACCACAUCCAAGGAAGGCAGCAGGCGCGCAAAUUACCCAAUCCCGACACGGGGAGGUAGUGACAAUAAAGAACAAU
RNAcentral lists this ribosomal RNA (367 nucleotides) under uncultured eukaryote. Its description in RNAcentral is "SSU rRNA". It matches the Rfam family "Eukaryotic small subunit ribosomal RNA", at positions 111 to 484 of the family's 1831-position model. The record is from RNAcentral.